UACGGAGGAUGCAAGCGUUGUCCGGAAUCAUUGGGCGUAAAGGGUCCUGAGGUGGUUUGCUCAGUCCACUGUGAAAGUUCAGGGCUUACCCUUGAAAAUGCGGUGGAAACUAGCAGGCUAGAGUACGGUGGGGGCAGAGGGAAUUCCCGAUGUAGCGGUGAAAUGCAUAGAUAUCGGGAAGAACACCGAUGGCGAAGGCACUCUGCUGGGCCGACACUGACACUGAAAGACGAAAGCCAGGGGAGCGAAUGG
RNAcentral lists this ribosomal RNA (252 nucleotides) under uncultured bacterium. Its description in RNAcentral is "partial 16S ribosomal RNA". It matches the Rfam family "Bacterial small subunit ribosomal RNA", at positions 524 to 775 of the family's 1533-position model. The record is from RNAcentral.